RNAcentral lists this unclassified non-coding RNA (338 nucleotides) under soil metagenome. RNAcentral's name for it is "partial contains 5.8S ribosomal RNA, internal transcribed spacer 2, and large subunit ribosomal RNA". The stretch from base 1 to 120 matches the Rfam family "5.8S ribosomal RNA", at positions 35 to 154 of the family's 154-position model. The record is from RNAcentral.
GAUGAAGAACGCAGUGAAAUGCGAUAAGUAAUGUGAAUUGCAGAAUUCAGUGAAUCAUCGAAUCUUUGAACGCACAUUGCGCCCGCUAGUAUUCUGGCGGGCAUGCCUGUUCGAGCGUCAUUUCAACCAUCAAGCCCCAGGCUUGUGUUGGGGUCCUGCGGCUUCCGCAGCCCCCUAAAAGCAGUGGCGGGCUCGCUGUCAUACCGAGCGCAGUAGCAUAUCUUCGCUCUGGGCGUGCGGCGGGUUCUUGCCGUAAAACAACCCCCCCUUUUCACCAAGGUUGACCUCGGAUCAGGUAGGAAUACCCGCUGAACUUAAGCAUAUCAAUAAGCGGAGGA